Non-coding RNA from Cucurbita pepo subsp. pepo (vegetable marrow), 935 nucleotides. Lineage: Eukaryota; Viridiplantae; Streptophyta; Magnoliopsida; Cucurbitales; Cucurbitaceae. The record is from RefSeq and is a predicted model, not a curated record.
UUCGUUUGAAAGAUUUUAAUAUCUCAUAAAGUGGAUCGUCCUUUUAUGCUUGAAGAAGCACACAAGGUCUGAAAAUGGAGGGCAAAGGCAAUGAAUUUGAGAAGAAACCAAUUCGUGAGAGGAAUCUAUAAUACAGUGAACUUUUGCCUUAUGGCAUACGAAACGAUGCAGAAAUUCAAUUUUCUCAGUCUGGGCAGUGAAAACGACGAGACCCAAGACUUGAUAAACUAAAGGAGGGGCGUGCGGCAGUUAAUUUCUCAGAUCUGUCGGAUCCUCUCAUGGUGGAUUCUGGAUUCAAUUCAAGUUGCAGAGAAUCGUAGGGCCAUGGAAAACGAUUCUCGCUUUUUUUAUAGAGCCUGCUUCAGAAUCUAAACUAAUCUUGCAGUGAAUUAGUUUUCAUUUUUUUUGUAGUGCUCGGAAGGUGUUCGACGAAAUGACCGACAGAGUUUGGUUGAUUUAUCUGUGCGGGCAGGCGAUUUUUGUAUGUGAAUUCAUCAGGUAGUGCAGUAGUUAUAGGGUGGAUGAUCAGAUUUUUAACAGAUUCCUUGUGCUCGGAAGGUGUUCGACGAAAUUACUGAAUGAAUUUUGUAGAUUAAGGUGGACCUGCGUGGGCAGCACUGAGUGGAGUCUACAGACUAGGCAUGGAAAAUGAAGAGAUUUGGCGUGUACGUCACUUUCCUCUCAGUAAGAAUAAGGGAUAUGAAUGAACAGGUAGACACCCAGUGAGGUUUGAUGGAAGCCUAAUGAAAAAGAUUCACAACAGGAAAGCAGAGGAUUCUGAAGAUGAACAGACAGCAACAACAACAACAACAUUCAAGGUAAUAUAAUCUGAAUUCAGACACUCUGAUACAAGUAAAUUGUUCAUGAUUAUACUAUUAAAUUGGAAAACAAAAGUAUAAUGAAGAGAAAAAUAACAUGGAAAAAGAAGAAGAAAA